GCGAACUGGUGAGUAACACGUGGGAAACCUGCCCCUAAGCGGGGGAUAACACCUGGAAACAGAUGCUAAUACCGCAUAACAACUUGGACCGCAUGGUCCGAGCUUGAAAGAUGGCUUCGGCUAUCACUUUUGGAUGGUCCCGCGGCGUAUUAGCUAGAUGGUGGGGUAACGGCUCACCAUGGCAAUGAUACGUAGCCGACCUGAGAGGGUAAUCGGCCACAUUGGGACUGAGACACGGCCCAAACUCCUACGGGAGGCAGCAGUAGGGAAUCUUCCACAAUGGACGAAAGUCUGAUGGAGCGACGCCGCGUGAGUGAAGAAGGGUUUCGGCUCGUAAAACUCUGUUGUUAAAGAAGAACAUAUCUGAGAGUAACUGUUCAGGUAUUGACGGUAUUUAACCAGAAAGCCACGGUUAACUACGUGCCAGCAGCCGCGGUAAUACGUAGGUGGCAAGCGUUGUCCGGAUUUAUUGGGCGUAAAGCGAGCGCAGGCGGUUUUUUAAGUCUGAUGUGAAAGCCUUCGGCUCAACCGAAGAAGUGCAUCGGAAACUGGGAAACUUGAGUGCAGAAGAGGACAGUGGAACCCCAUGUGUAGCGGUGAAAUGCGUAGAUAUAUGGAAGAACACCAGUGGCGAAGGCGGCUGUCUGGUCUGUAACUGACGCUGAAGCUCGAAAGUAUGGGUAGCAAACA
Molecule: ribosomal RNA, 690 nt
Filed under: uncultured bacterium
Lineage: Bacteria
Description: bacterial SSU rRNA
Rfam family: Bacterial small subunit ribosomal RNA
Source: RNAcentral